UUUCUAAGCCGAUUUUCGAAUAUCUCUCCAUUCCAAACGAAAGAGCAUACUUUUUUCUAUAUAAUGGCAUAUUCUUUAGAGAUCUUUUCAAGAAUAUAGACAAAAUUUGAGUAUCGUUCAAUAGCGAAUUUUCAUGGUUUUUUCAAUUUUAAUUUGGAAAAAAGUGAUAUUUUUAAGCUUGUUUUCGAAAAUAUGACUAUUCCAAACGAAAGAGCCUACUUUUUUCUAUAUAAUGGCAUAUUCUUUAGAGAUCUUUUCUAAAUAGUUUAAAUUUUAUGGAGAAUAUAGACAAAAUUUGAGUAUCGUUCAAUAGGAAUUUUCAUGGUUUUUUCAAUUUUAAUUUGGAAAAAAGUGAUAUUUCUAAGCUGAUUUUCGAAAAUCUGACUAUUCCAAACGAAAGAGCAUACUUUUUUCUAUAUAAUGGCAUAUUCUUUAGAGAUCUUUUUCAAAUGGUUAAAAUUUUAUGAAGAAUAUAGACAAAAUUUGAGUAUCGUUCAAUAGCGAAUCUUCAUGGUUUUUUCAAUUUUUAUUUGGAAAAAAGUGAUAUUUCUAAGCUGAUUUUCGAAAAUCUGACUAUUCCAAAUGAAAGAGCAUACUUUUUUCUAUAAAAUGGCAUAUUCUUUAGAGAUCUUUUCUAAAUAGUUAAAAUUUUAUGAAGAAUAUAGACAAAAUUU
Molecule: non-coding RNA, 674 nt
Organism: Cinara cedri
Lineage: Eukaryota; Metazoa; Arthropoda; Insecta; Hemiptera; Aphididae
Source: the annotation of a GenBank genome assembly